This 69-nucleotide transfer RNA is filed under the name Uma notata (Colorado Desert fringe-toed lizard). Its description in RNAcentral is "tRNA-Ala". It matches the Rfam family "tRNA". Rfam says of the family: Transfer RNA (tRNA) molecules are approximately 80 nucleotides in length. Their secondary structure includes four short double-helical elements and three loops (D, anti-codon, and T loops). The record is from RNAcentral. Lineage: Eukaryota; Metazoa; Chordata; Lepidosauria; Squamata; Phrynosomatidae.
AAGGUCUUAGCUUAAUUAAAGUGUCUGAUUUGCAUUCAGGAGAUGUGAAUUAAUAUUUCGCAGAUCUUA